This 524-nucleotide ribosomal RNA is filed under the name uncultured bacterium. RNAcentral's name for it is "partial 16S ribosomal RNA". It matches the Rfam family "Bacterial small subunit ribosomal RNA", at positions 28 to 523 of the family's 1533-position model. The record is from RNAcentral.
GACGAACGCUGGCGGCGUGCCUAAUACAUGCAAGUCGAGCGCAGGAAACUGACGGAACUCUUCGGAGGGAAGGCAGUGGAAUGAGCGGCGGACGGGUGAGUAACACGUAAGGAACCUGCCUCAAGGAUUGGGAUAACUCCGAGAGAUCGGAGCUAAUACCGGAUAGUUCAACGGACCGCAUGGUCCGCUGAUGAAAGGCGCUUCGGCGUCACCUUGAGAUGGCCUUGCGGUGCAUUAGCUAGUUGGUGGGGUAACGGCCCACCAAGGUGACGAUGCAUAGCCGACCUGGGAGGGUGAUCGGCCAAACUGGGACUGCGACACGGCCCAGACUCCUACGGGAGGCAGCAGUAGGGAAUCUUCCACAAUGGACGAAAGUCUGAUGGAGCAACGCCGCGUGAGUGAUGAAGGUUUUCGGAUCGUAAAACUCUGUUGUAAGGGAAGAACACGUACGAGAGGAAAUGCUCGUACCUUGACGGUACCUUACGAGAAAGCCACGGCUAACUACGUGCCAGCCGCCGCGGUAA